UAAGGCAAAGAUACAGAAGGUCAAAAGGAAGUUCACCCUGAUAAGUCCCUUAGAAGAAGGUCCAGAGGCCAGAGCUGGAAGCAGCAGCAGACACUCUUGUUUUGGCCUAAAAACAAUAAAUUGCCACGUUGUGGAGCGGAGCAGCUUUAGGAGACUCCAGUGAACCUACACCCGACUCCUGAGCCACAGAAGCUGAUCAGGGCAGAGCCAAGAGGAGGCAAAAACAUGUACCAACCAGAGGAAUAAAAAUCCACCACGGAGGAGGAAAGGAGGAAAGGAAGCCAGGUUCUGCCCUGAUGAGCCCCUGGGGGCAGGAUGGUGACACCAGCACAUCUGGGGAAAUAUUCCCAAGAAGGGUGCUUUCUGACAUCUGGGCCAAAGCAAAAGAGAUCAUGUGAGUGCAAUUACACACGUCUCAGGAAGAUACUACUGACUUCUCUGUGUCAUCUUCAGAUUCUAAACUUUCCCACACAGACUCAGACUCAUCCUACACUCUGGACUCCACCUUCUCAGAAAGCUCUUCUGGAAGCCAAAUGUCAGCCCCUCCACGGGAUCAUG
Otolemur garnettii (small-eared galago) is the source of this 558-nucleotide long non-coding RNA. RefSeq lists it as uncharacterized. The transcript has 4 exons. The record is from RefSeq and is a predicted model, not a curated record. NCBI's taxonomy places the organism in Eukaryota, Metazoa, Chordata, Mammalia, Primates, Galagidae.